RNAcentral lists this ribosomal RNA (252 nucleotides) under uncultured bacterium. RNAcentral's name for it is "partial 16S ribosomal RNA". It matches the Rfam family "Bacterial small subunit ribosomal RNA", at positions 333 to 577 of the family's 1533-position model. The record is from RNAcentral.
GAAACCCUACGGGGCGCAGCAGUAGGGAAUCUUCCACAAUGGACGAAAGCCUGAUGGAGCAACGCCGCGUGAGUGAAGAAGGGUUUCGGCUCGUAAAGCUCUGUUGGUAGUGAAGAAAGAUAGAGGUAGUAACUGGCCUUUAUUUGACGGUAAUUACUUAGAAAGUCACGGCUAACUACGUGCCAGCAGCCGCGGGAAUACGUAGGUGGCAAGCGUUUUCCGGGUUUAUUGGGCGUAAAGCGAGUGCAGGCG